GAUGAAGAACGUAGCGAAAUGCGAUAAGUAAUGUGAAUUGCAGAAUUCCGUGAAUCAUCGAAUCUUUGAACGCACAUUGCGCCCCCUGGUAUUCCGGGGGGCAUGCCUGUCCGAGCGUCAUUGCAACCUUCAAGCGCGGCUUGUGUGUUGGGACUCGUCCCCCGUGGACGGGCCCGAAAGGCAGUGGCGGCGUCCCGACAUGGUGCCCGAGCGUAUGGGAAUCCUCUUCCGCUCGAAUCGGCCCAUGCGGCGCUGGUCGUAACCAAAUUUUUUACCGGUUGACCUCGGAUCAGGUAGGGAUACCCGCUGAACUUAAGCAUAUCAAUAAGCGGAGGA
Molecule: unclassified non-coding RNA, 336 nt
Filed under: soil metagenome
Description: partial contains 5.8S ribosomal RNA, internal transcribed spacer 2, and large subunit ribosomal RNA
Rfam family: 5.8S ribosomal RNA (bases 1-120)
Source: RNAcentral